AUUGUGGCGAGUAUCGUGGCGAGAAGUAUAAGUACGUAUAUAUAAAUAUAUAUAUAUAUAUAUAUAUAUAUAUAUAUUUAUAUAUACGUACUUAUACUUCUCGCCACGAUACUCGCCACAAU
Molecule: non-coding RNA, 122 nt
Organism: Cinara cedri
Lineage: Eukaryota; Metazoa; Arthropoda; Insecta; Hemiptera; Aphididae
Source: the annotation of a GenBank genome assembly